AUCCUGUCUGAAUAUGGGGGGACCAUCCUCCAAGGCUAAAUACUCCUGACUGACCGAUAGUGAACCAGUACCGUGAGGGAAAGGCGAAAAGAACCCCUGUGAGGGGAGUGAAAUAGAACCUGAAACCGUGUACGUACAAGCAGUAGGAGCACCUUCGUGGUGUGACUGCGUACCUUUUGUAUAAUGGGUCAGCGACUUAUAUUCAGUGGCAAGGUUAACCGUAUAGGGGAGCCGUAGCGAAAGCGAGUCUUAACUGGGCGCUCAGUCUCUGGAUAUAGACCCGAAACCGGGUGAUCUAGCCAUGGGCAGGUUGAAGGUUGAGUAACAUCAACUGGAGGACCGAACCGACUAAUGUUGAAAAAUUAGCGGAUGACUUGUGGCUAGGGGUGAAAGGCCAAUCAAACUCGGAGAUAGCUGGUUCUCCCCGAAAGCUAUUUAGGUAGCGCCUCGGACGAAUACUACUGGGGGUAGAGCACUGUUAAGGCUAGGGGGUCAUCCCGACUUACCAACCCUUUGCAAACUCCGAAUACCAGUAAGUACUAUCCGGGAGACACACGGCGGGUGCUAACGUCCGUCGUGGAGAGGGAAACAACCCAGACCGCCAGCUAAGGUCCCAAAGUAUUGCUAAGUGGGAAACGAUGUGGGAAGGCUCAGACAGCUAGGAUGUUGGCUUAGAAGCAGCCAUCAUUUAAAGAAAGCGUAAUAGCUCACUAGUCGAGUCGGCCUGCGCGGAAGAUGUAACGGGGCUAAGCAAUACACCGAAGCUGCGGCAAUGUCUUUUAGACAUUGGGUAGGGGAGCGUUCUGUAAGCCGUUGAAGGUGAAUCGUAAGGUUUGCUGGAGGUAUCAGAAGUGCGAAUGCUGACAUGAGUAACGACAAAGGGGGUGAAAAACCUCCUCGCCGGAAGACCAAGGGUUCCUGUCCAACGUUAAUCGGGGCAGGGUGAGUCGACCCCUAAGGUGAGGCCGAAAGGCGUAAUCGAUGGGAAACGGGUUAAUAUUCCCGUACUUCUGACUAUUGCGAUGGGGGGACGGAGAAGGCUAGGUGGGCCAGGCGACGGUUGUCCUGGUUCAAGUGCGUAGGCUUGAGAGUUAGGUAAAUCCGGCUCUCUCUAAGGCUGAGACACGACGUCGAGCUACUACGGUAGUGAAGUCAUUGAUGCCAUGCUUCCAGGAAAAGCCUCUAAGCUUCAGAUAGUCAGGAAUCGUACCCCAAACCGACACAGGUGGUCGGGUAGAGAAUACCAAGGCGCUUGAGAGAACUCGGGUGAAGGAACUAGGCAAAAUGGUACCGUAACUUCGGGAGAAGGUACGCUCUUGAUGGUGAAGUCCCUCGCGGAUGGAGCUGACGAGAGUCGCAGAUACCAGGUGGCUGCAACUGUUUAUUAAAAACACAGCACUGUGCAAAAUCGCAAGAUGACGUAUACGGUGUGACGCCUGCCCGGUGCCGGAAGGUUAAUUGAUGGGGUUAGCGCAAGCGAAGCUCUUGAUCGAAGCCCCGGUAAACGGCGGCCGUAACUAUAACGGUCCUAAGGUAGCGAAAUUCCUUGUCGGGUAAGUUCCGACCUGCACGAAUGGCGUAAUGAUGGCCACGCUGUCUCCACCCGAGACUCAGUGAAAUUGAAAUCGCUGUGAAGAUGCAGUGUACCCGCGGCUAGACGGAAAGACCCCGUGAACCUUUACUACAGCUUGGCACUGAACAUUGAACCUACAUGUGUAGGAUAGGUGGGAGGCUAUGAAGACGUGACGCCAGUUGCGUUGGAGCCGUCCUUGAAAUACCACCCUUGUAUGUUUGAUGUUCUAACUUAGACCCAUUAUCUGGGUUGAGGACAGUGCCUGGUGGGUAGUUUGACUGGGGCGGUCUCCUCCCAAAGAGUAACGGAGGAGCACGAAGGUGGGCUAAUCACGGUUGGACAUCGUGAGGUUAGUGCAAUGGCAUAAGCCCGCUUAACUGCGAGAAUGACGGUUCGAGCAGGUGCGAAAGCAGGUCAUAGUGAUCCGGUGGUUCUGUAUGGAAGGGCCAUCGCUCAACGGAUAAAAGGUACUCCGGGGAUAACAGGCUGAUACCGCCCAAGAGUUCAUAUCGACGGCGGUGUUUGGCACCUCGAUGUCGGCUCAUCACAUCCUGGGGCUGAAGUCGGUCCCAAGGGUAUGGCUGUUCGCCAUUUAAAGUGGUACGCGAGCUGGGUUUAGAACGUCGUGAGACAGUUCGGUCCCUAUCUGCCGUGGGCGUUGGAAGAUUGAAGGGGGCUGCUCCUAGUACGAGAGGACCGGAGUGGACGAACCUCUGGUGUUCGGGUUGUGUCGCCAGACGCAUUGCCCGGUAGCUAAGUUCGGAAUUGAUAAGCGCUGAAAGCAUCUAAGCGCGAAGCGAGCCCUGAGAUGAGUCUUCCCUGACAGUUUAACUGUCCUAAAGGGUUGUUCGAGACUAGAACGUUGAUAGGCAGGGUGUGUAAGCGUUGUGAGGCGUUGAGCUAACCUGUACUAAUUGCCCGUGAGGCUUAACCAU
RNAcentral lists this ribosomal RNA (2508 nucleotides) under Vibrio cholerae. Its description in RNAcentral is "partial 23S ribosomal RNA". It matches the Rfam family "Bacterial large subunit ribosomal RNA", at positions 431 to 2925 of the family's 2925-position model. The record is from RNAcentral. Lineage: Bacteria; Pseudomonadati; Pseudomonadota; Gammaproteobacteria; Vibrionales; Vibrionaceae.